RNAcentral lists this long non-coding RNA (538 nucleotides) under Phoenix dactylifera (date palm). RNAcentral describes it as "long non-coding RNA (PDAC_LNC021206)". The record is from RNAcentral. Lineage: Eukaryota; Viridiplantae; Streptophyta; Magnoliopsida; Arecales; Arecaceae.
UGAGUUAUGAUAUUGAUCGAAUUGAAAUUGAUAAACCAGUUGGUGUCAAAGGCAACUGUAAUCAGUAGGUUUUUAAUUGGGAGCUACUUGCUAGGUUUCGGUCCAGUCAAGUUAAUGGCAUACCCUUCCGCUGAUCUCACUUACCUGGCCAUCUUGGUGAAUCUCUUUUGAUCAGAUCUCUGAUUGACUCUAAUUAACCCAUGCCUGUAAGAAAAUCAGUUGGACUGAUUUAGGUGCACUGACUUGAAUCUAUUUCCUAUGAUACCUGACUUAUGAAGUCAGUGGGAGCAUUUGGAUUGAGUCAGCUUUUUAUUAUAAACAUCCUCUAAAUUAUUAGGUCCAUAAAAUGAUAUGGUUAAUGGAGAUGACCACGUCAUAGCCUCCCAUUAGUUGUGUGAUAAUGAGUCCAAUGCGUCUAUAUAUAUUGGAGGCGCGUGCGCGCACUGGUACGUAUCGGCCAUUGGAAUUGUCAUACAAUAAUGAUGAGUCAGUUGCAACUAUUGGAAUGGGUGGUCCGGUUGGAUACCGACCAAAGUCG